Molecule: transfer RNA, 74 nt
Filed under: Dipodomys ordii (Ord's kangaroo rat)
Lineage: Eukaryota; Metazoa; Chordata; Mammalia; Rodentia; Heteromyidae
Rfam family: tRNA
About the family: Transfer RNA (tRNA) molecules are approximately 80 nucleotides in length. Their secondary structure includes four short double-helical elements and three loops (D, anti-codon, and T loops). Further hydrogen bonds mediate the characteristic L-shaped molecular structure. tRNAs have two regions of fundamental functional importance: the anti-codon, which is responsible for specific mRNA codon recognition, and the 3' end, to which the tRNAs corresponding amino acid is attached (by aminoacyl-tRNA synthetases). tRNAs cope with the degeneracy of the genetic code in two manners: having more than one tRNA (with a specific anti-codon) for a particular amino acid; and 'wobble' base-pairing, i.e. permitting non-standard base-pairing at the 3rd anti-codon position.
Source: Rfam by way of RNAcentral
GUCUGGAUAGCUCAGUCAGUAGAACAUCAGACUUUUAAUCUGAGGGUCCUGGGGUUCAAAUCCUUCUUUAGGUG